UAUGUAUAUAGUAGUAUCCUAAUUGUGAGAUGAUAAGUCUAAAAAAGGGGUGCUAUAUUGCAGAAUGGACCAUGUCUAUGCAAGACUAACAGCUUAGAUACUGACAGUGUGUUGCCUCUGUUACUACAAUGCCACAAGGGCUCACUCAAAGCCGGCGGCCUGGUUAAGGGAUGCCGGUGCAUGUGUUCUCCUGCCGGCCAGCUCAGAGGCACCGGGAGCCACCGCGCAGGCACUAGCAGCGGCCGCCGAGCAUCACCGGCACUGCCGUGCACUUGCUGCAGCGCCGACACAGAGCGCCGCAGUAGUGCGGGGUGUGGUGCUCUUUGCACGUACCCCCACCACUCUGUCACAUGUUACAGUUCUGCUUUUGAAAUGUAUAGGAGCCCCAGUAGGGCUCCUGUAUAUUUCGAAGUCUGAGACCACAGGGCACACGGGGCUAGUUUUCAGGGAAUCCUUUUGAGCCCCACUGGGGCUCUUCUACAUUUCAAAGGCUCAGGUGCUGCAGGGAGUGUGAUGCCAGUCCCCCGCUGGCCCCGUGCUCUCUGCGGGGCUUCCGCUUUUACAGUUCAAAGGCGGAGGCACCCUUAUCGACUAAUCGAAUAGUCGAUGGAAAACACAUCAACUAUUUAAUUAGUUAAUUAAUCUAAAUGUAACAUCCCUAACUGGAACACAGAAAAAUACACUUAAAUCUGUCCUUGGGUAUAGAAUUAGUUGAAGAAGGACUGUAGUGGCAUGGGUUGCUUUUUGUUGAUGUAGUUAUUAUGCAUAGGGCUUACCAACCCUUCUUACUGCCACGUCUGCAAAAUCAAAGGGCGGGAUCUGGUAGUAAUUUUGCUACUUUGUUAGGUUCAAAUUCUGACCUGGAUGUAAACAGAGCUCUCUCUGUGAUUACAAGUCAAUGGAAGCCCCAUGAAUCCCGCAGCAGAAUAUUCUUGCUGAGAAAAAAAAAACAUACCCAAAUGUUUGAUGUAGCAGAUUUCUUUCAAAAAAGCAGCAUCUGGUCUGAAGUAUUUUAACACACUUACCCUAAUGAGUGUGACAUAUUGUAGACUUGCAGUGUUUUAAAGGUAAUCUCUUAAAGCUUCCAUGUUUAAUAUAGCCCAAUGAGAAAGGAGGAGCAAUAGAUUCCUUACGGCUGACCCUUAGAUCAACACUGCAUAACAAUAGGCUGGCUAUACAUAUACACACACAUACACACACGCAACUUCCUCACAAUAUCAUUCAAAAACUGACAAAUAAGAAGAUAUUAAACACUAUUUCACAAAUAAUCUGAUUAACAAGAGCUUCCGAAGAGCGCUCAGACUGAAAGAAGACUGAGUUUACGCGUUGAAAAAACAGAACUACCAUCAAAGGAAUCUGUCAGGAAGGAUAAAAGGGAAUGGAAGGCAUUGGGAAGGGCCUUGCCAGUAAAAGUGAUCUUUCAGCAGAAAUCAAUCCCUGAACAUCUGCCCCCCAAAAGUACCAGUAACAGAGACAUUACUAGUGCAUUUAGUACACUGUGCAAGUGCCACUGGAGACAACAGAGUAAAUAUUUUUGUUUUGCAUGCUCUCAACAAUAUAGGUGCUAAAGUUGACUCCUACAAAGAAAAACACUAAACAAUUUGGACAAUACUAAAAGCAACUGAAAGUUAGUUUUUAGUGUAGAAGUCAGAUACAAUGCAAGCAAGCUCUCCACCAGAAAGCCUACAGAAACGCUCACCUGGGUCAAGAAAAGGACAACAAAAACAUCCACAGGUUUACCACCAUGGUUUAACAGCAGCAAUAAUUUUCAAAACUGGUCUGUUCAGGAGCUAUACUCAGAUUAUUAAAGAACAGAGCAUGAAA
This is a non-coding RNA of Pelodiscus sinensis (Chinese soft-shelled turtle), 1824 nucleotides long. The record is from RefSeq and is a predicted model, not a curated record. NCBI's taxonomy places the organism in Eukaryota, Metazoa, Chordata, Testudines, Trionychidae.